This 213-nucleotide long non-coding RNA is filed under the name Elaeis guineensis (African oil palm). RNAcentral describes it as "long non-coding RNA (EGUI_LNC018007)". Lineage: Eukaryota; Viridiplantae; Streptophyta; Magnoliopsida; Arecales; Arecaceae. The record is from RNAcentral.
UGGUGCCUUGCGAAAGUGCUUCAAUCCGAAGCUUCAUGUCGCUUUCCUACGAAGCUUGACGUGCGCACGAAGUAAAGAGUUUGUGGAUUCAAAUCUACAUGAGGUUUUAGAUUCAGAAUUAUUGGGAUUUGAUCCCUAUUCCAUUGCAUAUAAGGUAAAGAUCUAAUCUUUAAUAAAUUUUUUUAGAAAAUAAUUAGAUGCACCCAGCUAUCC